This 68-nucleotide transfer RNA is filed under the name Amphipholis squamata. RNAcentral describes it as "transfer RNA-Ala". Lineage: Eukaryota; Metazoa; Echinodermata; Ophiuroidea; Amphilepidida; Amphiuridae. The record is from RNAcentral.
AUAAAGGUAGUUAAAAAAUAACAACGAACUUGCACUUCGAGAUUGAGGAUUAACCUCCUCCCUUUAUU